Molecule: ribosomal RNA, 119 nt
Organism: Lupinus angustifolius (narrow-leaved blue lupine)
Lineage: Eukaryota; Viridiplantae; Streptophyta; Magnoliopsida; Fabales; Fabaceae
Source: Rfam
AGGUGCGAUCAUACCAGCACUAAUGCACCGGAUCCCAUCAGAACUCCGCAGUUAAGCGUGCUUGGGGGAGAGUAGUACUAGGAUGGGUGACCUCCUGGGAAGUCCUCGUGUUGCACCUC